Molecule: long non-coding RNA, 883 nt
Filed under: Gallus gallus (chicken)
Lineage: Eukaryota; Metazoa; Chordata; Aves; Galliformes; Phasianidae
Source: RNAcentral
GGGGAGGGAAAUGUCACCCGGCGGGCGCGGUGCUGAGGGACGGAGCGAGGGGACGGAGGGACAGGGAGCGCCGCCGGCUGUCAAGCAGAGCAGUUGCCAAGUGAUCUUCUCCACAGCACCCACGAACUUUGGCCUUACACUGAAGAGGACUCGUCAAAUGCUUUGGGAGAUACAACACGGAAUUGGAAGAGAAGCAUGGAUCUACCUGAAGGGCAGUUCGCUGCAUUCUUGGUGUGUGGAGGAACGGGUCCCGUGCUCACUGUUGUUACUCCCACAUAGGCGGACUCUGUAACUGAUUAUAUGUGGGUAGGGCCCUAUUGAAAUUAAGGAGAUUCUGCAGUAGUGCGGGGUUCUGUUUGUGUGACCCUACUGUGCCUUCUUACUGUGAAUUCUGUCAGUGUAUCAUGGGUUGUGCUGGAACCUGCCUUUUGGGAUAAUGUAAGUUCUGCCUUUCCCCCAAAUGUACUUUAGACGUGAAAUAAUCAUUAAAAAAAAAGUUUUGAAUUAGAAAAUAAAUAUAAUUUACAUGCGUUCUUUUAAUUAUGUUUUUUUGGCAGUACCAAAUAAUAUAUUCCUCAAAACUUCUUAAUGGCACUGAGGCUUUGUGGAUAGUUGGUCACAUGAUGAGAAAAUUCAGCUAUCAUGGACAAGGAUAAAAGUUCACCUAUUUGUGCAAGCAGCGCUGGCACCCUGACUGCACUAUGUGACCCUCCACAUAGGAGGCUGUGUGCCUUCAUUCCAGCACCAGCAAUGCACUUUACCCUUGACUUCCAGCUCCAGCACGUGCUCCUCAGAUUUUUAGAGCAAGUCAAACCACUGAAGGGCUGGGAGUCACUGCCGGAGCUCCUGGAACUACAACCCGCUGAACGCUGAAGCUCUUUUA